AGGGGGUUGACUCCACGUGACCCCAAGGUCAGGGGUUCAACCCCCAACGUGUGCAUUUGUUCCUUUUUUAUUUCUUUUUCUUUGAUUUUAUGAUUUUCACCCCAUUUUUUUCCAUUUUAAAUUAUUUAUUUCACCACUUAUUUUAAUCUUUCUGAAAUUAUUUCCAACACAAACUCAUGUUAUUUUUUCCUUUAUUAUUUUAUUAUUUUUAUUUCAUUUCAUUUGAGUAAUUUUUUAUGGACUUGUGAUGUCUUGAACAUUGAUAGCUAAGGAAGUCUAUUAGGUCAUGAUUUUGGUUUGAUUAGGG
Molecule: long non-coding RNA, 307 nt
Filed under: Lathyrus oleraceus (garden pea)
Lineage: Eukaryota; Viridiplantae; Streptophyta; Magnoliopsida; Fabales; Fabaceae
Description: Pisum sativum (pea) long non-coding RNA (PSAT_LNC029771)
Source: RNAcentral